GUGCUUAUGUCAUAUGUUAAAGAAUGAUAUGUGAAAACCGAUUGUGCUAUUUCUUAGAGUGCAUAUGUGAAAAUCUUUCAAUUGACAGCAUGGAGAGUUCAUGGCCUCUGCCAUCUGCGUUGGCUUCUGUAACUCAUAAACUGAACCUUGAAAAUUGAUUCAAAUCACCUUCAUGGCCGAGAGGUCGUUGGGUGCGCUGAGCAUGGACACACCCAGUUAUUUUUUGGGUUAAACAAAAAGCUUUCAGUUUGCCAUCAAUGCCUUUUGUAAGUACCAAUGUUUUUUGUUCCGAUUUUCAGUGUCUUCUUAUAAAGAUGAAGAUUUAAAAUGUUGGAUACUUUUGAGUAUAUCAGGGUUGGAAAUUCACGAGAUUCCAUUAAAAGUCACCGCCGCUUGAUUUUGGAAAGCUAUCAAUAUCUGAUGCUUCUCCGAUAAUAGUGCACGAACUGAAGAUUACGAAGAUUCUUGUACGACAUGCGGAGGCAGUUAAUAGCAGACUUUUUGUGCCUAAUCCAUCUCAUGAUUUGAAAUCUAAAGAGAAAAAUGAAGAGGGAAGACGCAAAUUAAGACUGUGAAAGUAUGUUCUCAUCUCCCUCUCUC
This is a non-coding RNA of Sesamum indicum (sesame), 600 nucleotides long. Lineage: Eukaryota; Viridiplantae; Streptophyta; Magnoliopsida; Lamiales; Pedaliaceae. The record is from RefSeq and is a predicted model, not a curated record.